This 500-nucleotide ribosomal RNA is filed under the name uncultured bacterium. Its description in RNAcentral is "partial 16S ribosomal RNA". It matches the Rfam family "Bacterial small subunit ribosomal RNA", at positions 30 to 523 of the family's 1533-position model. The record is from RNAcentral.
AUUGAGCGCUGGCGGAAUGCUUUACACAUGCAAGUCGAACGGCAGCACGGACUUCGGUCUGGUGGCGAGUGGCGAACGGGUGAGUAAUGUAUCGGAACGUGCCCAGUCGUGGGGGAUAACGUAGUGAAAAUUACGCUAAUACCGCAUACGAUCUAUGGAUGAAAGCGGGGGAUCGCAAGAACUCGCGCGAUUGGAGCGGCCGAUAUCAGAUUAGGUAGUUGGUGGGGUAAAGGCCCACCAAGCCAACGAUCUGUAGCUGGUCUGAGAGGACGACCAGCCACACUGGAACUGAGACACGGUCCAGACUCCUACGGGAGGCAGCAGUGGGGAAUUUUGGACAAUGGGCGAAAGCCUGAUCCAGCCAUUCCGCGUGCAGGAUGAAGGCCCUCGGGUUGUAAACUGCUUUUGUACAGAACGAAAAGGUUUCUACUAAUACUAGGAGCUCAUGACGGCACUGUAAGAAUAAGCACCGGCUAACUACGUGCCAGCAGCCGCCGUAA